Molecule: ribosomal RNA, 427 nt
Filed under: uncultured bacterium
Lineage: Bacteria
Description: partial 16S ribosomal RNA
Rfam family: Bacterial small subunit ribosomal RNA
Source: RNAcentral
GUGGGGAAUAUUGGGCAAUGGGCGAAAGCCUGACCCAGCAACGCCGCGUGAGGGAAGAAGGUUUUCGGAUCGUAAACCUCUGUCCUUAGUGAAGAGUAAGAGACGGUAGCUAAGGAGGAAGCCCCGGCUAACUACGUGCCAGCAGCCGCGGUAAUACGUAGGGGGCGAGCGUUGUCCGGAAUGAUUGGGCGUAAAGGGCGCGUAGGCGGCCUGUUAAGUCCGGAGUGAAAUUCCUGCUUUCAAGGUAGGAAGUGCUUUGGAAACUGGCGGGCUGGAGUGCAGGAGAGGUUAGCGGAAUUCCCGGUGUAGCGGUGAAAUGCGUAGAGAUCGGGAGGAACACCAGUGGCGAAGGCGGCUAACUGGACUGUAACUGACGCUGAGGCGCGAAAGUGUGGGGAGCAAACAGGAUUAGAUACCCCAGUAGUCC